Molecule: ribosomal RNA, 433 nt
Filed under: uncultured bacterium
Lineage: Bacteria
Description: partial 16S ribosomal RNA
Rfam family: Bacterial small subunit ribosomal RNA
Source: RNAcentral
AACGAACGCUGGCGGCAUGCCUAACACAUGCAAGUCGAACGAGACCUUCGGGUCUAGUGGCGCACGGGUGCGUAACGCGUGGGAACCUGCCCUUAGGUUCGGAAUAACUCCCCGAAAGGGGUGCUAAUACCGGAUAAUGUCUUCGGACCAAAGAUUUAUCGCCUUUGGAUGGGCCCGCGUUGGAUUAGCUAGUUGUUAGGGUAAAAGCCUACCAAGGCGACGAUCCAUAGCUGGUCUGAGAGGAUGAUCAGCCACACUGGGACUGGGGCACAGCCCAAACUCCUACGGGAGGCAGCAGUGGGGAAGAUUAGACAAUGGGCGAAAGCCUGAUCCAGCAAUGCCGCGUGAGUGAUGAAGGCCUUAGGGUUGUAAAGCUCUUUUACCCGGGAUGAUAAUGACAGUACCGGGAGAAUAAGCUCCGGCUAACUCCGUG